GUUAAAAGUAGUGCUGUUAUUUCUUGAAUAAUUUUUCCACUCUGUGCUUUUCUCUGAACAAGUGCCUAACUGGAUGCAAAGAGCUCAAUCCUGACUGAUUGCAAUUCCGAUUGUAGCCAGCAGUCGUAAGCUAAUGGAUUGGGACAUGCUCAGUACCAAGCAGGAUUUGACUCUCAGGCAGGAAGUGCUUCUGGGCAGUUCUGUCUGUCAUGAGAGCAGAUAACUUAUAAAUGAUGGGUGGAAGCUAUUCACUUCUGAAAGAAGGAUGCCUCUGAGAAUUUUUUUCAACUGUAGAUUCACCCACUGACUGUGGAUCUGCAGCACAGCGACAGCACAACUCCCGUGUCCUGCACUGGGAAGCUGCAAGACACCUGGGUUACUUGGAGCACCCAAGUGUGAAAAUGUUGGUACUAGUUACCUUUUAAAAGGUGAUUAAAUCUAACACAUGCUUUGGUUUCCUACUGCUUUAACUGCCUACCUUGGUAAAUUUUUCGACAUGUUUACUAUUCUGUGCAUGAAAUAAUGACAGCUACAUCUAUGCAAGGUUAAGUACAAGGAAUUAAUAAGAGGCUGAGAAUCUGGGAGAGCUCCAGGCCUGCAAAUGAAUUUAAUGCUCUGAGGGCUGACGCUUCCAGUGCUGACCCACCUGAAAGGCAAGUUUUCGAAGGUUCCCUCUUCUCCCAGUAUAGCUAA
RNAcentral lists this long non-coding RNA (693 nucleotides) under Struthio camelus australis. Its description in RNAcentral is "lncRNA (ENSSCUG00000014321.1)". The record is from RNAcentral. Lineage: Eukaryota; Metazoa; Chordata; Aves; Struthioniformes; Struthionidae.